Molecule: long non-coding RNA, 11447 nt
Filed under: Zostera marina
Lineage: Eukaryota; Viridiplantae; Streptophyta; Magnoliopsida; Alismatales; Zosteraceae
Description: long non-coding RNA (ZMAR_LNC000011)
Source: RNAcentral
UUAUUUUCAUAUUUAGAAACCGACAACAUUCAACGUAGAUCGAUUCUCGUCGACUUUUCUUUCUUUUUUUCUUCUGGGUGUUGAUAUUUGGUUGAAAAGAUUUAUGUUUGGUUGCAGUUUUGACGAUUUCAUCUACCAAUCGUUUUCAAUCUCUUCAUUUUGCAUCUGAAUCUUCGUUUUUGAUAUCUCUUCGUUUUGCAUCUGAAUCAUCGAGCGACACAGAAUUUACUUUUGCAUCUGAAUCGGAAAUUGUAGGAUGAUUAUAGAGGGUGGAUCAGGGUUUCUUCUCAAUUUGGGGAUUGAUUUUUAUUCGUGAUAUCAGGGAUCGAUGGUUUCAUAUUAUUUUGUAGAAUCUAAUAUUUUAUUGUCAUAAAAGAAAUCUAGCAUUGUUUUUACCUUCUCGCAUGAGAUAGAUUAUGAUAAAUGAGAUAUUUCCAUUGGCUUGUGUUUAAAAAAAUCACAAUAAUAUUAUAAAAUUCAUUUCAAUAUUUUUCUUUUUGUGAUUUUAAAAUAGUAUUCUCUUAAUUAACACCUUUUUAUUUCAUUUUAAAAUAAUACUUCCAUCAUUCUUGAGAUUUGUAUUACAUUUUAAAUCUAAAAUAAUUAUUGAAAAUUCAUAUCGUUUGACAAUAAUUCUUUUCUUUUGAAUUAAGUAUUAUUUUUAAUAAUUAUUUUUCUCUCAUGGGUAAUUCAUGCUUUUAUUUUUUUCCCAUUUCAACAUUUUACUUUGUAUCUUUUGGAGACAUGUUUGUUGUGCUUUUUGAAUCUAAAAUAUUAAUUGCUUGUGUAGAUCGAUAGACAUGAAUCGCAUAUCGAUGUCUUUGGAGUUCAUAAUAGUUUAAAAUAAUAAAUAUCUAUUUCCAAAAUGAUUUUGUGUUCUACCCUAUUUUCAAAUAAUAUAUUAUGUAUGAGUAAAUCUCAAUAUUUUUCUUCUUGUGACUUUAAAAUAGUAUUAUGUUAUUUAACACCUUUUUAUUUCAUUUUAAAAUAAUGCUUACAAAAUGAUAGUUGAAAAUAAUAGUUGAAGAUAGAGAGUUGAAAACUAUUAAAUCUUUUUGUGACUAUAAAAUAGUAUUAUGUUAAUUGACAACUUUUUGUUUCAUUUUAAAAUAAUGCUUCCAAAAUGAUAGUUGAAAAUAUUAGUUGAAGAUAUAGAGUUGAAAACUAUUAAAUUUUUUUAUUUCAUCUUUGGAGUUUAUAAUAUAUAGUUGAAAAUAAUAAUUUUUUUUCCAAAAUGAUUUUAGAUUAUUCUUCCCUUUUUUCAAAUAAUAUAUUAUGAGAAAAUUACGAUAUUUUUCUUUUUUGACUUUAAAAUAGUAUUAUGUUAAAUAACACCUUUUUAUCUCAUUUUAAAAUAAUGCUUCCAAAAUGAUAGUUCAAAAUAAUGGUUGAAAAUAUAUAGUUGAAAACUAUUAGAUCUUUUUAUUUUGUAUUUGGAUUUCAUAAUAUAUAGUUAAAAAUAAUAAAUUUUUAUUUCCUAAAUGAUUUUUUGUUUUACUAGCCUUUUUUCAAAUAAUAUAUUAUGAGUAAAUUUCAAUAUUUUUCUUUUUGUGACUUUAAAAUAGUAUUAUGUUAAUUAACACCUUUUUAUUUCAUUUUCAAAUAAUUCUUCCAAAAUGAUAGUUCAAAAUUAUAGUUGAAAAUAUAUAGUGAAAACUAUUAGAUCUUUUUAUUUCAUCUUUGGAGUUCAUAAUAUAUAGUAGAAAAUAAUAAAUUUUUAUUUCCAAAAUGAUUUUUUCUUAUUAUACCCUUUUUUUAAAUAAUAUAUUAUCAUGAGUAAAUCUCAAUAUUUUCUAGCUUUUUGUGACUUUAAAAUAGUAUUAUUUUAUCAAACAACUUUUGUAUUUCAUUUUAAAAUAAUGAUUCCAAAAUGAUAGUUCAAAAUAAUAGUUGAAAAAAUAGAGUUGAAAACUAUUAGAUCUUUUUAUUUCAUCUUAAUUUGUAGUUCAUAAUAUAUAGUUGAAAAUAAUAAAUUUUUAUUUCCAAAAUGAUUUUGUGCUAUUCUACCCUAUUUUCAAAUAAUAUAUUAUGUAUGAGUAAAUCUCAAUAUUUUUCUACUUGUGACUUUAAAAUAGUAUUAUGUUAUUUAACACCUUUUUAUUUCAUUUUAAAAUAAUGCUUACAAAAUGAUAGUUGAAAAUAAUAGUUGAAGAUAGAGAGUUGAAAACUAUUAAAUCUUUUUAUUUCAUCUUUGGAGUUCAUAAUAUAUAGUUGAAAAUAAUAUUUUUUUUUCCAAAAUCAUUUUUUGUUAUUCUACCCUUUUUUCAAAUAAUAUAUUAUUAGUAAAUUACGAUAUUUUUCUUUUUUGACUUUAAAAUAGUAUUAUGUUAAAUAACACAUUUUUAUCUCAUUUUAAAAUAAUGCUUCAAAAAUGAUAGUUCAAAAUAAUAGUUGAAAACUAUUAGAUCUUUUUAUUUUGUAUUUGGAUUUCAUAAUAUAUAGUUAAAAAUAAUAAAUUUUUAUUUCCAAAAUGAUUUUUUGUUUUUCUAGCCUUUUAUCAAAUAAUAUAUUAUGAGUAAAUUUAAAUAUUUUUCUUUUUGUGACUUUAAAAUAGUCUUAUGUUAAUUAACACCUUUUUAUAUCAUUUUUAAAUAAUUCUUCCAAAAUGAUAGUUCAAAAUUAUUGUUGAAAAUAUAUAGUGAAAACUUUUAGAUCUUUUUAUUUCAUCUUUGGAGUUCAUAAUAUAUAGUAGAAAAUAAUAAAUUUUUAUUUCCAAAAUGAUUUUUUCUUAUUUUACCUUUUUUUCAAAUAAUAUAUUAUGUAUGAGUAAAUCUCAAUAUUUUUCUUGCCUUUUGUGACUUUAAAAUAGUAUUAUUUUAUUUAACACCUUUUUAUAUCAUUUUAAAAUAAUGCUUCCAAAAUGAUAGUUGAAAAUAUUAGUUGAAGAUAUAGAGUUGAAAACUAUUAAAUCUUUUUAUUUCAUCUUUGGAGUUAAUAAUAUAUAGUUGAAAAUAAUAAUUUUUUUUCCAAAAUGAUUUUAGAUUAUUCUUCCCUUUUUUCAAAUAAUAUAUUAUGAGUAAAUUACGAUAUUUUUCUUUUUUGACUUUAAAAUAGUAUUAUGUUAAAUAACACCUUUUUAUCUCAUUUUAAAAUAAUGCUUCCAAAAUGAUAGUUCAAAAUAAUAGUUGAAAAUAUAUAGUUGAAAACUAUUAGAUCUUUUUAUUUUGUAUUUGGAUUUCAUAAUAUAUAGUUAAAAAUAAUAAAUGUUUAUUUCCAAAAUGAUUUUUUGUUUUUCUAGCCUUUUUUCCAAUAAUAUAUUAUGAGUAAAUUUCAAUAUUUUUCUUUUUGUGACUUUAAAAUAGUAUUAUGUUAAUUAACACCUUUUUAUUUCAUUUUUAAAUAAUUCUUCCAAAAUGAUAGUUCAAAGUUAUAGUUGAAAAUAUAUAGUGAAAACUAUUAGAUCUUUUUAUUUCAUCUUUGGAGUUCAUAAUAUAUAGUAGAAAAUAAUAAAUUUUUAUUUCCAAAAUGACUUUUUCUUAUUUUACCCUUUUUUCAAAUAAUAUAUUAUAUAUGUAUGAGUAAAUCUCAAUAUUUUUCAAGCUUUUUGUGACUUUAAAAUAGUAUUAUUUUAUUUAACACCUUUUUAUAUCAUUUUAAAAUAAUGCUUCCAAAAUUAUAGUUGAAAAUAAUAGUUGAAGAUAUAGAGUUGAAAACUAUUAAAUCUUUUUAUUUCAUACUUGGAGUUCAUAAUAUAUAGUUGAAAACAAUAUAUUUUUUUUCCAAAAUCAUUUUUUGUUAUUCUACCCUUUUUUCAAAUAAUAUAUAUAUUAUGUACGAGUAAUUAUCAAUAUUUUUCUUUUUUUUACUUUAAAAUACUAUUAUGUUAAUUAACACCUUUUUAUUUCAUUUUAAAAUAAUGCUUCAAAAUGAUAGUUGAAAAUAACAGUUGAAAACAAUUAGAUCUUUUUAUUUAGUCUUUGGAUUUCAUAAUAUAUAGUUGAAAAUAAUAAAAAAAAUUUCCAAUUUUUUUUUUUUAUUUUACUCUUUUUUCAAAGAAUAUAUUAUGAUUAAAUCUCAAUAUUUUUCUUUUUGUAGCUUUAAAAUAGUAUUAUGGUAAUAAUAACCUUUUUAUUUCAUUUUAAAAUAAUGCUUCCAAAAUGAUAGUUCAAAAUAGUAGUUGAAAAUAUAUAUAGUGAACUAUUAGAUCUUUUUAUUUAGUCUUUGGAUUUCAUAAUAUAUAGUUAAAAAUAAUAAAUUUUUAUUUCCAAAAUGAUUUUUGGUUAUUCUAUCCUUUUAUCAAAUAAUUUAUUAUGAGUGAAUUUCAAUAUUUUUCUUUCUUGACUUUAAAAUAGUAUUAUGUUAAAUAACACCUUUUUAUCUCAUUUUAAAAUAAUGCUUCCAAAAUGAUAGUUCAAAUUAAUAGUUGAAAAUAUAUAGUUGAAAACUAUUAGAUCUUUUCUUUCAUCUUUGGAUUUCAUAAUAUAUAGUUAAAAAUAAUAAAUUUUUAUUUCCAAAAUGAUUUUUUUUUAUUCUACACUUUUUUCAAGUAAUAUAUUAUGAGUAAAUUUCAAUAUUUUUUUUUUUGUGACUUUUAAAUAGUAAUAUGUUAAUUAACACCUUUUUAUUUCAUUUUAAAAUAAUGCUUCCAAAAUGAUAGUUGAAAAUAAUAGUUGAAAAUAUAUAGUAAAAUACUAUUAGAUCUUUUUAUUUCGUCUUUGGAUUUCAUAAUAUAUAAUUAAAAAUAAUAAAUUUUUAUUUCCAAAAUGAUUUGUUUUUAUUCUACCCUUUUUUCAAAUAAUAUAUUAUGAGUAAAUUUCAAUAUUUUUCUUUUUGUUACUUUAAAAUAAUAUUAUGUUAAUUAACACCUUUUUAUUUCAUUUUAAAAUAUUGCUCCAAAAUGAUAGUUCAAAAUAAAAGUUGAAAAUAUAGAGUUGAAAAUUAUAAUUAGAUCUUUUUAUUUCGUCUUUGGAUUUCAUAAUAUAUAGUUAAAAAUAAUAAAUUUUUAUUUCCAAAAUGAUUUUUUGUUAUUCUACCCUUUUUUCAAGUAAUAUAUUAUGAGUAAAUUUCAAUAUUUUUCUUUUUGUGACUUUAAAAUAGUAAUAUGUUAUUUAACACCUUUUUAUUUCAUUUUAAAAAAUGCUUCCAAAAUGAUAGUUCAAAAUAAUAGUUGAAAAUAUAUAGUAAAAUACUAUUAGAUCUUUUUAUUUCGUCUUUGAAUUUCAUAAUAUAUAGUUAAAAAUAAUAAAUUUUUAUUUCCAAAUGAUUUUUGUUAUUCUACACUUUUUUCAAGUAAUAUAUUAUGAGUAAAUUUCAAUAUUUUCUUUUUGUGACUUUAAAAUAGUAAUAUGUUAAUUAACACCUUUUUAUUUCAUUUUAAAAUAAUUCUUCCAAAAUGAUAGUUCAAAAUAAUAGUUGAAAAUAUAUAGUUGAAAACUAUUAGAUCUUUUUCUUUAGUCUUUGGAUUUCAUAAUAUAUAGUUUAAAAUAAUAAAAUUUUAUUUUCAAAAUGAUUUUUUUUAUUCUACCAUUUUUUCAAAUAAUUUAUUAUGAGGGAAUUUCAAUAUUUUUCUUUUCGUGACUUUAAAAUAGUAUUAUGUUAAUUAACACCUUUUUAUUUCAUUUUAAAAUAAUGCUUCCAAAAUGAUAGUUUAAAAUAAUAGUUGAAAAUUUAUAGUUGAAAACUAUUAGAUCUUUUUAUUUCGUCCAUGGAUAUAAAAAUAAAUUUUUAUUUCCAAAAUGAUUUUUUGUUAUUCUAUAUUCCCUUUUUUCAAAUAAUUUAUUAUGAGGGAAUUUCAAUAUUUUUCUUUUCGUGACUUUAAAAUAGUAUUAUGUUAAUUAACACCUUUUUAUUUCAUUUUAAAAUAAUGCUUCGAAAAUGAUAGUUCAAAAUAAUAAUUGAAAAUAUAUAUUAGAAAACUAUUAGAUCUUUUUUUUCGUCUUUGGAUUUCUUAAUAUAUAGUUUAAAAUAAUAAAUUUUUAUUUCCAAAAUGAUUUUUUGUUAUUCUACACUUUUUUCAAGUAAUAUAUUAUGAAUAAAUUUCAAUAUUUUUCUUUUUGUGACUUUAAAAUAGUAAUAAGUUAAUUAACACCUUUUUAUUUCAUUUUAAAAUAAUUCUUCCAAAAUGAUAGUUCAAAAUAAUAGAUGAAAAUAUAUAGUGAAAACUAUUAGAUCUUUUUGUUUCGUCUUUGGAUUUCAUAAUAUAUAGUUAAAAAUAAUAAAUUUUUAUUUCAAAACUGAUUUUUGGUUAUUCUAUCCUUUUAUGAAAUAAUAUAUUAUGAGUAAAUUUCAAUAUUUUUCUUUCUUGACUUUAAAAUAGUAUUAUGUUAAAUAACACCUUUUUAUCUCAUUUUAAAAUAAUGCUUCCAAAAUGAUAGUUCAAAAUAAUUGUUGAAAAUAUAUAGUUGAAAACUAUUAGAUCUUUUUAUUUCAUCUUUGGAGUUCAUAAUAUAUUGUUGAAAAUAAUAAAUUUUUAUUUACAAAAUGAUUUUUUGUUAUUCUCCCCUUUCUUUCAAAUAAUAUAUUAUGAGAUUUUUUUCAAUUUUUUUUUCUUUUUGUGUCUUUAAAAUAGUAUUAUGUUAAUUAACACCUUUUUAUGUCAUUUUAAAAUAAUGCUUCCAAAAUGAUAGUUGAAAAUAAUAGUUGAAAAAAUAGAGUUGAAAACUAUUACAUCUUUUUAUUACAUCUUUUUAUUUCAUCUUUGGAUUUCGUAAUAUAUAGUUAAAAAUAAUAAAUUUUUAUUACCAAAAUGAUUUUUUAUUAUUCUACCCUUUCUUCAAAUAAUAUAUUAUGAGUAAAUUUCAAUAUUUUUCUUUUUUGACUUUAAAAUAAUAUAUUAUGUCAAUUAACACCUUUUUAUUUCAUUUUAAAAUAAUGCUUCCAAUAUGAUAGUUCAAAAUAAUAGUCGAAAAUAUAUAGUUGAAUUCUAUUAGAUCUUUUUAUUUCGUCUUUGGAUUUCAUAAUAUAUAGUUAAAAAUAAUAAAUUUUUAUUUCCAAAAUGAUUUUUUGUAAUUCUACCCUUUCUUCAAAUAAUAUAUUAUGAGUAAAUUUCAAUAUUUUUCUUUUUUGACUUUAAAAUAAUAUAUUAUGUCAAUUAACACCUUUUUAUUUCAUUUUAAAAUAAUGCUUCCAAAACGAUAUUUCAAAAUAAUAGUUGAAAAUAUAUAGUUGAAAACUAUUAGAUCUUUCUAUUUCGUCUUUGGAUUUCAUAAUAUAUAGUAAAAAUAAUAAAUUUUUAUUUCAAAAAAUAUUUUUUUUAUUCUACCCUUUUUUCAAAUAAUAUAUUAUGAGUAAAUUUCAAUAUUUUUCUUUUUUUGAAUUUAAAAGAGUAUUAUGUUAAUUAACACCUUUUUAUUUCAUUUUAAAAUAAUGCUUCCAAAAUUAUAGUUCAAAAUAAUAGUUGAAAACUAUUAGAUCUUUUUAUUUCGUCUUUGGAUUUCAUAAUAAAUUUUUAUUUCCAAAAUGAUUUUUUGUUAUUCUAUAUACUAUUUAUUAAAUAAUAUAUUAUGAUUAGAUUUCGAUAUUUUUCUUUUUUGACUUUAAAAUAAUAUUAUGUUAAAUAACACCUUUUUAUCUCAUUUUAAAAUAAUGCUUCCAAAAUGAUAGUUUAAAAUAAUAAUUGAAAAUAUGUAGUUAAAAACUAUUAUAUCUCUUUUUAUCGUCUUUGGAUUUCAUAAUAUAUAGUUAAAAAUAAUAAAUUUUUAUUUCCAAAAUGAUUUUUUGUUAUUCUUCCCUUUUUUGAAAUAAUAUAUUAUGAGUAAUUAAUUUCAAUAUUUUUCUUUUUUGACUUUAAAAUAGUAUUAUGUUAAUUAAACCUUUUAUUUAAUUUAAAAUAAUGCUUCCAAAAUGAUAGUUCAAAAUAAUAGUUGGAAAUAUAUAUAGUUGAAUAUUAUUAGAUCUUUUUAUUUCGUCUUUGGAUUUCAUAAUAUAUAGUAAAAAUAAUAAAUUUUUAUUUCCAUAAUGAUUUUUUGUUAUUCUACCCUUUUUUCAAAUAAUAUAUUAUGAGUAAAUUUCAAUAUUUUUCUUUCUUGACUUUAAAAUAGUAUUAAGUUAAAUAACACCUUUUUAUCUCAUUUUAAAAUAAUGCUUCCUAAUUGAUAGUUCAAAAUAAUAGUUGAAAAUAUAUGGUUGAAAACUAUUAGAUCUUUCUAUUUCGUCUUUGGAUUUCAUAAUAUAUAGUAAAAAUAAUAAUAAAAAAUUUCCAAAUUUUUUUUUUCUACCCUUUUUUCAAAUAAUAUAUUAUGAGUAAAUUUCAAUAUUUUUCUUUUUGUGAAUUUCAUAGAGUAUUAUGUUAAUUAACACCAUUUUAUUUCAUUUUAAAAUAAUGGUUAGAAAAUUAUAGUUCAAAAUAAUAGUUGAAAACUAUUAGAUCUUUUUAUUUCGUCUUUGGAUUUCAUAAUAAAUUUUUAUUUCGAAAAUGAUUUAAUAUUGUUAUUCUAUAUACUAUUUUUUAAAUAAUAUAUUAUGAGUAAAUUUCGAUAUUUUUCUUUUUUGACUUUAAAAUAGUAUUAUGUUAAACAACACCUUUUUAUCUCAUUUUAAAAUAAUGCUUCUAAAAUGAUAGUUCAAAAUAAUUGUUGAAAAUAUAUAGUUGAAAACUAUUAGAUCUUUUUAUUUCAUCUUUGGAGUUCAUAAUAUAUUGUUGAAAAUAAUAAAUUUUUAUUUACAAAAUGAUUUUUUGUUAUUCUCCCCUUUCUUUCAAAUAAUAUAUUAUGAGAUUUUUUUCAAUUUUUUUUUCUUUUUGUGUCUUUAAAAUAGUAUUAUGUUAAUUAACACCUUUUUAUUUCAUUUUAAAAUAAUGCUUCCAAAAUGAUAGUUGAAAAUAAUAGUUGAAAAAAUAGAGUUGAAAACUAUUACAUCUUUUUAUUUCAUCUUUGGAGUUCGUAAUAUAUAUAUAUAGUUGAAAAUAAAUAAAAAUUAUUUCCAAAAUGAUUUUUUGUUAUUCUACCCUUUUUUCAAAUAAUAUAUUAUGAGUAAAUCUCAAUAUUUUUCUUUUUGUUACUUUAAAAUUGUGUUAUGUGACUUAACACCUUUUUAUUUCAUUUUAAAAUAAUACAUGCUUCCAAAAUGAUAGUUGAAAAUAAUAGUUGAAUAUAUUGAGUUGAAAACUAUUAGAUCUUUUUAUUUUAUCUUAAUUUGAAGUUCAUAAUAGUUGAAAAUUAUAAUAAUAAAAAAUCCAAAAUGAUUUUUUGUUAUUUUACCCUUUUUUCAAAUAAUAUAUUAUGAGAUUUAUUUCAAUAUUUUCCUUUCUGUGACUUUAAAAUAGUAUCACGUUAAUUAACACCUUUUUAUUUCAUUUUAAAAUAAUGCUUCUAAAAUGAUAGUUCAAAAUAAUAGUUGAAAAUAUGGAGUUCAAAACUAUUAGAUCAUCUCCUAGAUAGUGACAAUAUUGAUUCUAUAUGUGAUGGUUUGGCGGUCUGAUUAUCGUCUUUUCAUGUCUUUUAUCCACUCACAACUGAAUCUUAUGUUUGAGCAGUUUAUUCAUCUUAUUAUUAGAGAAAAUUCCUUUCUCAAGCAUCAUCUUCAAAUUAAAAAUCUGAUGAUCCUUCGGGUGACGCUUUUGCUGCAAAAUUCCGUUCAGGACGUGAUUCUAGGAAUGAUUACAGAGGUAAUUCAAAUGAUGACAAAAGAACUGAGUAUAGAAAUAAAAAAGGAAUAAUUCCUCAAAGAAUAGAUGGAGGAGAUCUAAGAAUUCUAACUCUUCUAAUUCCAUUGUCGUUUGCCAGGUACUUUGAGACACCAGAACAUUUUGUUAAGACUUGUAGGAAAAUUCUGAAAGCCCUAGUUUUUGUUGUUACGUACUAAUGAUUCCUCAUAAGAGAAUUGGAUCUUAGAUUCCGGAGCAUCUGCUAAUAUGGCUUCUGAUAUCAAUAAUUUACCAUGACUCAGGAGUACUACUCAGGUAAAUCUUUUAUUAAAAUUGGUAAUGGUUUAGGUUUGCAUAUAUCACAUAUUGGAAAUUUGAAAAUUAAAUCUAAAUUUGGUGAUUUAAUACUAAAAAUGUUUUGUGUUCCAAAAUUAAAAAUGAAUUUGAUUUCUCUACAAACAAUGUCUAAUGAUUUAGAUUGUAAAGUUAUAUUAAAUUGUAAUAAAUUUUCAGUAAAUGAUAAUAAAUCUGAAAAAUAGAUUUUAAAUGGUAUUGGAUCAAAUGGAUUGUAUGUGUUUUAGACGCACAUGGUGAUAAUUUUAAAUGUAUUGCAUCGAUAGUUAAACAUAAUGCAUACUUUUUUGUUUUAUCUAUAACAUAUGACAUAUGAGAUCAUGUGGGCAUCUAUCAUCUCAUAUAAUUUCUGAAUUGUUUAAAAUACAUAAUAUUAAAACAACUAAAUGUGAAGAAAAAUGUGUUGUAUGUCCGAUGAAUAAAAUGAAAAAAUCAUAACUGAAACAUAAACUAUUAAACACGAAAUAGCUAAAGUUGGGUCAAACAUAUAUAUUAUGAGUUGAUUUCUAUAUUUGUAUCUAGAGUCAGAUAAACAACUAGUUAGAAAAGUGAGAUAAAUCAUAUAUGAAAUUAAGAACAUUAUAAAUAUCAACUUUACAAAACUUUAAUCUAAAUGGAUGAUAUUUCUUAUUUUAUUUUGGUUUGGUUUGGUUUAUUUUUUUUCUUUUCUCUUAUAUAUAUAUAUAUAUAAUUUUUUUCUUCUCUCCCACUUUUUUUCAUGUCUUACAGAUAUAUCUUCUUACAUCUUUCUGCAUUAUGAAUAUUAUUUCAUUUGUCAAACAUUGAUACUGCGAUAUGGAUGCGAUGCUUUUGGAGAUAGUUAGAAGAAUGGAACAGAAAAAAAAAAGCUACUAAUGCUAAGCUAGCAACGUUUGAUUAAGGGAUUAGCAGCCUCGGUUUGGUUUUUUCCUCCAGAAUUCAUAGUGGACAGAUAAGCAAGGAACGGUUUUCCCAGAAUUAAAAAUAAGAUGCAAAAAAUUUGGAAGCACGCUGGGUUUUUAAUCCAUCCAUGGCUAUACUACACUAGAAUUCAAGAUACUAUAUAUAUUGGAGGCCAAAGUUGAAGUGAACAAAGCAUAUAAAGAUUGAGAAGGGAUAUCAACAGAGUUAAAUACAAUCAAUAGCUUUGUUAACUAUAGUUAAUACCCUCUUUAGUUAAUUAGCUAGUAUUAGUAGUUAAUUAGCAGUUAAAUGAUGGGAUAAAUAGGAAGAUUGACAACUUUGUAUUUUGGAGAUUUCAUUUGUACGUGAAAUUGAUAUUUUUUGAUUUGAUUGUCAUUCGCUUGUUUGUUGAUCUCAAGAACCCAAGAGUUGAAGCAUUCAACAUGUUCUUUUCUAAAAUGAUUCAACCCGUGGAUUUUUUGUCUACAGUCCAAAAUAUGGGUCUCUUAGGAUCAGGUAUGUGUGAAUUCUCAUUGCUCAGCAUGAACAACACAUUUGACAUCAAAGGCCUGUCUAGUGCCAAGUCUUGUACACACAACAAUCCAAUUUUGACGAAACGAAAAACUUGAGAUUUCGAGCACGAACAAUGGAGACUUUCAUCAACUAACUCCAAUACGUUAUCAUCUUU